GAUCAUGGCUCAGGAUGAACGCUAGCGACAGGCUUAACACAUGCAAGUCGAGGGGCAGCGGGGAGUAGCAAUACUUCGCCGGCGACCGGCGCACGGGUGAGUAACACGUGUGCAACCAACCCCGUACCGGGAGAUAACCCGCGGAAACGUGGACUAACAUCCCAUAACACUGGAGGAUCGCAUGAUCUUUCAUUUAAAAUUCCGGUGGUACGGGACGGGCACGCGCGACAUUAGGUAGUUGGCGGGUAACGGCCACAAG
This 259-nucleotide ribosomal RNA is filed under the name uncultured bacterium. RNAcentral's name for it is "partial 16S ribosomal RNA". It matches the Rfam family "Bacterial small subunit ribosomal RNA", at positions 15 to 272 of the family's 1533-position model. The record is from RNAcentral.